UACAGAGGGUGCAAGCGUUGUUCGGAAUUAUUGGGCGUAAAGAGCUCGUAGGCGGCUUGUUGCGUCGACUGUGAAAAACCACGACUCAACCGUGGGACUGCGGUCGAUACGGGCAGGCUAGAGUUCGGUAGGGGAGACUGGAAUUCCUGGUGUAGCGGUGAAAUGCGCAGAUAUCAGGAGGAACACCGGUGGCGAAGGCGGGUCUCUGGGCCGAUACUGACGCUGAGGAGCGAAAGCGUGGGGAGCGAACAGG
This 253-nucleotide ribosomal RNA is filed under the name uncultured bacterium. RNAcentral describes it as "partial 16S ribosomal RNA". It matches the Rfam family "Bacterial small subunit ribosomal RNA", at positions 524 to 776 of the family's 1533-position model. The record is from RNAcentral.